AUCUCAAGACUAAAAUAAAUAUUCAAGAAUUCAAGGGGAAGAAGAGAAGGGUUGGGUUGAGCUCCUUGGUGGUGUUUUCCUUCAAAGUGGUCCCUCAUAAUACUUCCAAAAUUUCCAACUACUUGAGGAUGAGUUUCCUCCCAUCAAAACAAAGCCAAAUUCCUGUAUGUGCCUUUUUUUUCCCCAACUCCUAACAAACCCAACUACAAUGGGCAAUCAGGAGCUGACAAGAUUUAAUCAAUUCGAUGUAGGAAACCUGGUGAUAUCUAUGAUUUAGACCCUUUGUCCAAUCAUUUA
This 297-nucleotide unclassified non-coding RNA is filed under the name Hevea brasiliensis (rubber tree). Lineage: Eukaryota; Viridiplantae; Streptophyta; Magnoliopsida; Malpighiales; Euphorbiaceae. The record is from RNAcentral.